GCAGACACACACACUGAUACGCAGCAGCGACCGUUGGAGGAGAGGGAAAAAUUAAUAAAUAAAACACAGAGCACGACUUUCUGAAAGUACUAUUCUGUCGAAUGAAUACGUUUACAGUGUUUAAAGAGACCAAUGCAUACGAUAUAGUGGCUGUAGACGCACCGUGCAGACAAGCAGUCUGGUAGCUAUAAACAGUGAAGUGGUGCAAAGGGAGGAGGACAGGAAAUAAAGGAGUUACCUGGAGGGUCUCCGUCAAUCCACAUUUCAGUUGGAGCGAGAGAAAAAGGCACAGAGCGAGAGAGAGAGAGGGAAAGGAGAAGAGGAGUCCGAGUCGCGUCUGCUCUUGGCAGCUGUUCCAGCAGCCCGAUUCAUUGUUUUGGCUGUUAUUUUGUUCCUGCGUUACCUUUUUGAUGAAUCAGUUCAUAUUUUUAACUUUAAUGUGAGAUAUAACUGCUGUAAAAAAAAAAAACAAAAAACAAAAAAAAAAAA
Molecule: long non-coding RNA, 489 nt
Organism: Stegastes partitus (bicolor damselfish)
Lineage: Eukaryota; Metazoa; Chordata; Actinopteri; Pomacentridae
Exons: 2
Source: RefSeq, a predicted model, not a curated record